RNAcentral lists this ribosomal RNA (1384 nucleotides) under Amoebophrya sp. ex Gymnodinium instriatum. Its description in RNAcentral is "LSU rRNA". It matches the Rfam family "Eukaryotic large subunit ribosomal RNA", at positions 1 to 1290 of the family's 3401-position model. The record is from RNAcentral. Lineage: Eukaryota; Dinophyceae; Syndiniales; Amoebophryaceae.
UGACUUUAGACAAGAAUACCCGCUGAAUUUAAGCAUAUAAGUAAGCGGAGGAAAAGAAAAUGAAUAUGAUUCCCUUAGUAAGGGCGACUGAACCGGGAAGAGCUCAAAAUGUAAAUCAGGAACCUGGUUUCUGAAUUGUAGUCUUGAGAGCUGUUGCUAGGNNNNNNNUCCGCGUAAGUCUUUUUGGAAAAAAGCAUCAGAGAGGGUGAGAAUCCCGUUUCCGUGGAGUGUCCUGCCUUUCCGGCAUGGCUUCUUAGAGUCGCGCACUUUGGAAAUGGUGUGCAAAAUGGGAGGUAAUUUUCUUCUAAAGCUAAAUAUAGGCCUGAGACCGAUAGCAAACAAGUACCGUGAGGGAAAGAUGAAAAGGACUUUGGAAAGAGAGUUAAAAGUGCCUGAAACCGCUAAGAGGGAAGCGAAUGAAACCAGUUUUUUUUCGUAAGAUUGUUGUAGGCUAAGGUGAGUUUCUGUAUCGUAAGAGCAGUUGAGCUGAGCUGGACGCCUGCAGUGUUUCUUAUGGAAAAGUGUCAUCGUAUGUUGGGCGCUCGAAGAUUAUGGCUGGCAUCUCGUGGGUUCGCUGUUGUGUUCCUUGAGAGUUGGUUUAGAUUCUUGCCCCGACAUAGGAAUGCGGGUGGGUUUUACUGCGCUAUAAUUCUAGCGACAGAUUUGUGGACUUCUAAAGUGCUCAGGUCUUAGCUGGAAUGACGUGUAUUAUUCUCACUCCAGGACGAUGGCUAAAUGGUUUUUUUCUACCCGUCUUGAAACACGGACCAAGGAGUCGACCUCUAUCGCGAGUGUGCGGGUGGCAAACCUGUACGCGGAAUGAAAGUAACAGUUUGGAUUUUUUUGUUUUGCACAAACGGCCGGCUUCGAUCUAUUGAGAGAGGUUUGAGUAUGAGCGAUAAGGGUCGGACCCGAAAGAUGGUGAACUAUGCUUGAGUAGGGUGAAGUCAGGGGAAACCCUGAUGGAGGCUCGUAGCGGUACUGACGUGCAAAUCGUUCGUCAAACUUGAGUAUAGGGGCGAAAGACUAAUCGAACCAUCUAGUAGCUGGUUCUCUCCGAAGUUUCCCUCAGGAUAGCUGGAGUCGGUGAACAGUUUUGUCAGGUAAAGCGAAUGAUUAGAAGCAUUGGGGAUGCUUAGUCCUCGACUUAUUCUCAAACUUUAAAUAGGCAAGAUCAGUGACUUACUUUAGUGAAGUUACUGGAUAAAUGACGACCCCAAGUGGGCCAUUCUUGGUAAGCAGGACUGGCGAUGAGGGAUGAACCUAACGUUGGGUUAAGGUGCCAAACUGCUCGCUCAUCAGAUACCACAAAGGGUGUUGGUUCAUUUUAACAGCAGGACGGUGGUCAUGGAAGUCGAAACCCGCUAAGGAGUGUGUAACAACU